UUCAACUCGGCCACACACCGCGCGAGCAACAUCCCAUUCUCAUGAUCCCUUUCGAGAAGCCGUUCAGCGUCGGUCUUAUAGCAGAUUUCCCAAGCGAUAGCAAUCGAGCAGAGGAAAGAGCAUAGGAGGGGGAUCCAAGAGGGGACAGCGGAGGAGAGGAGGAUGAGGAUGAGGGUGGAGUGGAGGGCGAAGGAGGCGCAGACCCGUCUUUUUCUUCUUCUUCUUCUUCCUCGCUGCAUUGCUCCCUACUCCAAAGAACUGAUGAAAGAGGAAUUCUCAAAGAGCAAAUCUUGAAAGAAAGC
Dioscorea cayenensis subsp. rotundata (Guinea yam) is the source of this 302-nucleotide long non-coding RNA. RefSeq lists it as uncharacterized. The transcript is spliced from 3 exons. NCBI's taxonomy places the organism in Eukaryota, Viridiplantae, Streptophyta, Magnoliopsida, Dioscoreales, Dioscoreaceae. The record is from RefSeq and is a predicted model, not a curated record.